UACGGGGGGGGCAAGCGUUGUUCGGAAUUAUUGGGCGUAAAGGGCGCGCAGGCGGCGCAUUUUGUCAGGCGUGAAAGCCCCGGGCUUAACCUGGGAACUGCGUUUGAUACGGAUGGGCUAGAGUUCGGGAGAGGAGAGUGGAAUUCCCAGUGUAGAGGUGAAAUUCGUAGAUAUUGGGAAGAACACCGGUGGCGAAGGCGGCUCUCUGGACCGAGACUGACGCUGAUGCACGAAAGCGUGGGUAGCAAACAGG
This 253-nucleotide ribosomal RNA is filed under the name uncultured bacterium. RNAcentral's name for it is "partial 16S ribosomal RNA". It matches the Rfam family "Bacterial small subunit ribosomal RNA", at positions 524 to 776 of the family's 1533-position model. The record is from RNAcentral.